Long non-coding RNA from Pogoniulus pusillus (Red-fronted tinkerbird), 1286 nucleotides. RefSeq lists it as uncharacterized. The record is from RefSeq and is a predicted model, not a curated record. NCBI's taxonomy places the organism in Eukaryota, Metazoa, Chordata, Aves, Piciformes, Lybiidae. The transcript has 6 exons.
GAGAAAGAAUACUGUUACCCAGCAGAUGAUAGCAAAUACUGUGGAAUGAUUUCAAGCCUGGAGCUGUAGUAAGGAAGCAGAAAUGAGACAUUUUAGUGCUUGAGGAUGUCAUUUUGCUGCUGUCUUUCUCCCUGAGAAUAUAGAGUUGGUCUGUUCAUUGGCUUAAGCAGACCUUGGAUCAACACUUGCUACUACCAAGCCUUGGAAUCCAAACACUUCAGCAAAAUACUAAUCCCAGCUGUAGGCUGUCGGCUGAUUCUGUGGUUUUCCUAGGAGAAGGCUGAAGCAGUUAUUUGUUAAACCUCAUAGAAGGAUCGAUGUCAAAGCAAUGCUUAAAAUUUUGGAUGACUUGUCACUCAAACUGACAGGUGCCACCUCUCCUCACAGAAAUCAGAAUGAGAGUUGUGCUGAAUCCACUGUCAAAAUGGCACAGCCUCUCUCCUUCAUGGCAUUGUCUAUGAUGAUGAGAGCUGGGACAACUGCAGGUCACCAGAGGAUGGAAGCAUCAUGACAGAACCCUUUUCUGUUUGUCUUUGGUAUUCCUUGUCACAGGGCUUAAGAAGACAGCUUGUUUCCCAUGUUUGCCCAUGAAUAAAUUCUGUCUGUGAAAGAAGAGGGUGGAGAAGGGCAGUAUUUCCAGCUGUUUUAAAAGAUACAAGACCCAGAAAGAUUCACAUAUGCCUAGCUUUUCAGAGAGCAUGAAAUAAGAACAAGAUAAGUGGAAAGAUUUCUAUAUCAAAGAAGUUUUCAACUGACUGGUUUGAGGCUUGAUACUCUGUCAUGAUUCAAAGAUGAGAGGAUUAGGUUAAACAAACCUUUCUUUUAGCAGCAGGUAAGCAGAUAAACAGUACAAUAAUGUAAGAUGGUUACUGCAUCUUAAGUGGGAUUUCAUGUGUGGUGAAAUAAUUUGUUGACAGUUACUCUGAAUUUGAGACACAGACCAGAGUAAUAGUGUAAAAAAUAUUGAGGUUUUGCUAUUGACUUUAUUAUCAGUGGAGAAAGCAGUUCCUUAUCAGAAUGGAGAAAACUUGAAAAUUCCUCCACAGACUUGCACAUUUGAAGUUGAACAUGAAUUUUGAGUAAAUAAACAUGCAACUGCUUAAUCUUAAUAGAAGAGUUGUGAGAACAAAAUCCUUAGUUUAUGUAAUUGAAUGUUUGUUUGGAAUGACUGGUGUAUUCCAACCUGUAAGAUGUGUUUUGCUGUGCUAAAUUAAAGAAGCAAUGAGCUCCUGCUUCACUCAUUGUAGCUUUUCCCUCCCUGGCAGCCAAGGCAAGAGCAGGGAGGG